This 72-nucleotide transfer RNA is filed under the name Apaloderma vittatum (bar-tailed trogon). It matches the Rfam family "tRNA". From Rfam's summary of the family: Transfer RNA (tRNA) molecules are approximately 80 nucleotides in length. Their secondary structure includes four short double-helical elements and three loops (D, anti-codon, and T loops). The record is from Rfam by way of RNAcentral. Lineage: Eukaryota; Metazoa; Chordata; Aves; Trogoniformes; Trogonidae.
GGCCGGUUAGCUCAGUCGGUUGAGCCUGGUGCUGAUAACACCAGGGUCGCGGGUUCGAUCCCUGUUCGGUCC